GGUUAAGCGACUAAGCGUACACGGUGGAUGCCCUGGCAGUCAGAGGCGAUGAAGGACGUGCUAAUCUGCGAUAAGCGUCGGUAAGGUGAUAUGAACCGUUAUAACCGGCGAUUUCCGAAUGGGGAAACCCAGUGUGAUUCGUCACACUAUCAUUAACUGAAUCCAUAGGUUAAUGAGGCGAACCGGGGGAACUGAAACAUCUAAGUACCCCGAGGAAAAGAAAUCAACCGAGAUUCCCCCAGUAGCGGCGAGCGAACGGGGAGCAGCCCAGAGCCUGAAUCAGUGU
Molecule: ribosomal RNA, 286 nt
Filed under: Escherichia coli
Lineage: Bacteria; Pseudomonadati; Pseudomonadota; Gammaproteobacteria; Enterobacterales; Enterobacteriaceae
Description: partial 23S ribosomal RNA
Rfam family: Bacterial large subunit ribosomal RNA
Source: RNAcentral